Molecule: transfer RNA, 74 nt
Filed under: Pteropus alecto (black flying fox)
Lineage: Eukaryota; Metazoa; Chordata; Mammalia; Chiroptera; Pteropodidae
Rfam family: tRNA
About the family: Transfer RNA (tRNA) molecules are approximately 80 nucleotides in length. Their secondary structure includes four short double-helical elements and three loops (D, anti-codon, and T loops). Further hydrogen bonds mediate the characteristic L-shaped molecular structure. tRNAs have two regions of fundamental functional importance: the anti-codon, which is responsible for specific mRNA codon recognition, and the 3' end, to which the tRNAs corresponding amino acid is attached (by aminoacyl-tRNA synthetases). tRNAs cope with the degeneracy of the genetic code in two manners: having more than one tRNA (with a specific anti-codon) for a particular amino acid; and 'wobble' base-pairing, i.e. permitting non-standard base-pairing at the 3rd anti-codon position.
Source: Rfam by way of RNAcentral
GGCUCCGUAGUGCAGUGGUUAGCACAUCUGCUUUACACACAGAAGGUCCUGGGUUCGCGCCCCAGGUGGAGCCA